GAGUGAACGCUGGCGGUAGGCCUAACACAUGCAAGUCGAACGGCAGCACAGUAAGAGCUUGCUCUUACGGGUGGCGAGUGGCGGACGGGUGAGGAAUACAUCGGAAUCUACUUUUUCGUGGGGGAUAACGUAGGGAAACUUACGCUAAUACCGCAUACGACCUACGGGUGAAAGCAGGGGAUCUUCGGACCUUGCGCGAUUGAAUGAGCCGAUGUCGGAUUAGCUAGUUGGCGGGGUAAAGGCCCACCAAGGCGACGAUCCGUAGCUGGUCUGAGAGGAUGAUCAGCCACACUGGAACUGAGACACGGUCCAGACUCCUACGGGAGGCAGCAGUGGGGAAUAUUGGACAAUGGGCGCAAGCCUGAUCCAGCCAUACCGCGUGGGUGAAGAAGGCCUUCGGGUCGUAAAGCCCUUUUGUUGGGAAAGAAAAGCAGCAGGUUAAUACCCCGCUGUUCUGACGGUACCCAAAGAAUAAGCACCGGCUAACUUCGU
Molecule: ribosomal RNA, 492 nt
Filed under: uncultured bacterium
Lineage: Bacteria
Description: partial 16S ribosomal RNA
Rfam family: Bacterial small subunit ribosomal RNA
Source: RNAcentral